RNAcentral lists this ribosomal RNA (253 nucleotides) under uncultured bacterium. Its description in RNAcentral is "partial 16S ribosomal RNA". It matches the Rfam family "Bacterial small subunit ribosomal RNA", at positions 524 to 776 of the family's 1533-position model. The record is from RNAcentral.
UACAGAGGGUGCGAGCGUUGUCCGGAAUCACUGGGCGUAAAGGGCGCGUAGGUGGCCUGAUAAGUAGGGGGUGAAAUCUCGAGGCUCAACUUCGAGGCUGCCUCCUAAACUGUCAGGCUUGAGCAGAGUAGAGGCAGGUGGAAUUCCCGGUGUAGCGGUGGAAUGCGUAGAGAUCGGGAAGAACAUCGGUGGCGAAGGCGGCCUGCUGGGCAGUGGCUGACACUGAGGCGCGACAGCGUGGGGAGCAAACAGG